This is a non-coding RNA of Schistosoma rodhaini, 45 nucleotides long. The record is from Rfam. Lineage: Eukaryota; Metazoa; Platyhelminthes; Trematoda; Strigeidida; Schistosomatidae.
AUCUAGCUGACGAGUCUCAAAUAGGACGAAACGCGCAUCCUGGAU